AAGUCGUAACAAGGUUUCCGUAGGUGAACCUGCGGAAGGAUCAUUAACAAAAAAAAAACCUCUUUUUAUUUUAUUUUAUUUAUUUUUAAUCAAACACUAUGUGAAUCUUUUUUGUAAUUUUUAUAUUACAAAAAAUAUUAAAUAAAACCAAAAAAAAAUUAAAAAAAAAUUAAAUGGAAAGAGAAAAAAAAGAAGACUUUAUUUGUUUUUUUUAUUAUUCUCCUUCUAAUAUUCGAAAUUUAAUCAAUGAAAAAAAUAACUCUUAACAAUGGAUAUCUCGGCUCUCGC
This 288-nucleotide unclassified non-coding RNA is filed under the name fungal sp. RNAcentral's name for it is "partial internal transcribed spacer region". The stretch from base 1 to 46 matches the Rfam family "Eukaryotic small subunit ribosomal RNA", at positions 1786 to 1831 of the family's 1831-position model. The record is from RNAcentral. Lineage: Eukaryota; Fungi.